Molecule: ribosomal RNA, 388 nt
Filed under: uncultured eukaryote
Lineage: Eukaryota
Description: SSU rRNA
Rfam family: Eukaryotic small subunit ribosomal RNA
Source: RNAcentral
AGCUCCAAUAGCGUAUAUUAAUGUUGUUGCAGUUAAAAGCUCGUAGUUGGAUUUCUGGCGGGAGCGUCCGGUCCGCCCUUCGCGGGGUGUGUACUUUGUUGACGUUUCUUCCGCCAUCCUUGGAGAGAGCUUGUUGAGCAUUAAGUUGUUUGGCAAGGGAUCUUCAUCGUUUACUGUGAAAAAUUAGAGUGUUUAAAGCAGGCAAUUGCUGUGAAUACAUUAGCAUGGAAUAAUAAGAUAGGACUUUUGGUGCUAUUUUGUUGGUUUGCACACCGAGGUAAUGAUUAAGAGGGACAGUUGGGGGUAUUCGUAUUUAAUUGUCAGAGGUGAAAUUCUUGGAUUUAUGAAAGACGAACUACUGCGAAAGCAUUUACCAAGGAUGUUUUCA